Molecule: long non-coding RNA, 3735 nt
Organism: Taeniopygia guttata (zebra finch)
Lineage: Eukaryota; Metazoa; Chordata; Aves; Passeriformes; Estrildidae
Source: Ensembl
CUUUUUUUUUUCCUUUUUUUUUUUUUUUUUUUAUUCAGAAGUGAUCAAAGAUUCUGAUGGUUAUUCAAGUCCAGUGCAAAUAAUGCUCUUGUCCCUUUAUCAUAACAUAUCAUCCUGACCUAGAAACGUUUAUACAAAUAACUCUCUCUUCAUACUAAGUCUCCAUGAUUCUUAUUCCAGGUAACAGAAUUUAAUAUAGAUCUCACUUUUCAUUAUAAAGAUCCUGUACAAUUUGUUAUGGAAAUCUCAAAACUAGUAACCAGGAUGUGACUUCAGUGACUCUUACUUUAAAAAAAAAGAAACAACCAAAAAACCAAACCAACAAAACAUAGCCAGAGGAGUAAAUAGAGUUCCUCUUUUUUUAGUACCUCAAUAAAUGGGGCUCAAGAGUAUAUUUUACCUGAAACAAUACCUAAAAUCCUGGAACAGUCCUCAGAGAAGGUUUUGGAAGAUAUGUCAAUCUACUACCAGCCAAAUAUCAACAGGACCAGACAUCUCUUGUACUUCAGUCAGCAAAUGCUUAAAAUCUCUCUGCUAAAUGGAAGCAGAAAAUGGGUGGAAAACUCUUUCACAUAGGUUAGACAUAUUACCGUUUACAUUUUGAGAAAGGUAGAAAGGAUUGACAUAUAAAGAAAUUAAAUUUUUAUUUCAUGUCUACACUACUCAAUAUUGACUUAAACAAGUGCUGCAGUACUGGGAUGCAGGAAAAAACUUGGGGGAACCACAAGUGUAUUUUUCUAAAAACACUAUUACUGUUUAUUUUGGAUAGAAAACAGAGCUGUGAAUCCUCUGUGCAAGAUGUGCUUUCUUACAGUGAACAAAGUAUCUGAGUCACAUAAAAGGAUGAAUUUUGAUUUGCAUAGGAGUCUUAUGUAUUUGUCAUGGUCUAAUAUAGGAAGUUCUGAGUUCAGACAGACAUAUUUUAACUGGACUGUGCAAGCGCUGUAGUUUUACAUCUACCACCUGUUCUAGUCAGAUCCCUUUGGGUGCAGGGUAUGGCAAGCAGCGUCUUAAGCAUCUAACGAGGUCAUGGAUUGUGCUCCAGCAGUCAAAUACCUAAUCCCAUUUGUAGCUGGGGGCCAGGUUUUCAAAGGAAUAUAUUAAAAAUCUGUUUCAAAUGAAGGUAGAUAUUUUUGGACAAUGUUUGGUUGUCUGUGAAAAACUGAGGGAUUUAAUAAUUAGCUAAUGAGUAGCUCCUGGUAUUUAGACUUGUUUCUAGUCCUACAGUUUUAGAAGGACCUAAGGAAAUACUGCUGAGGAGAAACUGAGGUAUCUCUACCAUAUAACAGAACUAGAAAGGUAGAGUAGAGCUUUUUCACUACUAUUUUGCUUCUUUAUUCAUCAGAAAGUUUACUUUUCUGAAGCACCAGAAAGAUUAAAAUUUGUUCAAUAAAUAAUAAAUAUAAAAGCAACUUAUGGAUUAUGAUGUUAGCUAAGCUUGUUUUCUCAUUGCACACAUUUUUGCUACAUCAAAAAGCUAACCCUAUCUCUUCUUUAUAUACAUAAAAUGAACAAUAAUUUAAAAAUAUUGUAGACCUUAAUUGUUACCAACCUUAACUGCUAUUAAAAAAAAGUCAAUCUAAUUUCUAAGGUAAUUAAGCUCACUUUCCAAAUCCUUUUUAUAUAACGUCAUUCAGAACCCUUUAAUUGUAAUGUUAUGUAAUGAAAUGCAUCUUUUUUAUGUUGAUACUAAUGACUUUAUAAUUGGAGAACAGGAGGGAAUUCUGCACAAGAUGUAGGAACAAGACAAUUUGUGGAAUACAAGGGACUGAUGACAAUUUAUGCAUCUUGUUUCAAGCCUCAUGACUCUAAAUAAUGAAAAUUAGGCAAAAUCCUACUUCUCCACAGACCUACUUGCCAAUAGGGGAAGUCAAGGUUAGUCAGUAAGCACUAUAUCCCUUCAAAUGGAGCUGUGAGUACUCCGACAGCUUCUGCUUUAGACCAAAGAGCACAGUUUAAAACCCUACUGCCAACCAAAUGUUAUGAAAUCAUCUGAAUAGAUGCUUGCUUGAGUACAGGUUUUUAUAUGGCCUUUUUAAUGUUACCCCAGUGGCAAAGUGUGUUCAGAUAAGGAAGUAAAGAAAAAUAUAUGCCACUUAUUAUUGCAAAAAUGUAUAGAUUUGUGCUUAGAGAAAUCUGAAAUUAUUCUUUUAAAGUGUGAAACAGGGAUUAUAUUCAACAGGAAAAGCUCCUGCUGUGAGUAUACCUUUUUUUUAUUAUGUCAUUUUCAUCAAUUCUAGCCCUGGGACUUUGUUUCUUCAACUGUCUCACACUGUCUGGAAUUUUAGAUCCUGUCAUCUUGUGCAGCACUAAUACAUUUUUAUGCAGGAAACACUCGCUUAGUACUGUUAAAUCAGGAGGCCAGCCAGCUUUGAUAUCCAGAUUCUUUGAAAAUCUUUUGUAUAAAGAGUACUCUAUGAAAGACACCAAUAAAAAUUUAAUGACCUGUGCUUCCAAUUUCAAACAGUAGGAAUAAACUCAAGAAUCUCACUUUCCAUUUCUGCUACAGACUGUGUCAACAUGAGCAUUUCUGUAUAUCAUGUUGUGUAAAAUAUUUUAUUUUGAGCAGCAAAAAUACAGCACACUUUCAAGUGGGAGUCCAGGAUAUUAACUGUAAAUUUUUCUGAUUAAAGGUAUAUAGUCUUUCCUGGCCUAGCACUACUACAAAGAAAUCAGAGUAUAAAUGGGUCCUCUUUGUGAAGGAUAGGAGAAAAAUGAAACAAUUCUUUGGUCUUGUUUGUAUUUUUGUGCAUUGUAAAUCUUAUUAUGGGCAAAAUUUUACACGUUAUAUGAUGAUCAUUAAUGUUCUGAUGCCCAGCCAUACAUGGUAUAGGCAAUAAAAGUAAAAAUACAUUGCCUUCAACAAAAAUAAUUGAAUACUUGCAGAAUUUAUGAGUCUCAUGAUUUGGACGCAAUCACAAUGGCACCUAACAUGACAGUUGUAAUAAAAACCUUUGUUGGAUUUGGUUGGCAAGUGUAACCAUCUAAAGGAAAUAAUAAAAAAUAUUAUGAAGGAAUUAAUAAAAAAAUAAAUGUAGUGUAGGAUCCAAGUGAGGCUCAGUCUAACACCCAAGUGCAACAUCUGCUUGUGCUGUGCUUGAGCUGUCGUAGAAAAGACGACACAUUUAUUCAAUGGCUAAAGAGCUUAUUAGUGUUUUAAUUUUGCAACUGGGAAUCCUGAUUGAUACUUCUUUUCUCCUCCCAUGCUACUUUCACUGUUCUUCCAGCCGUGGGCAAGCUGAACCAUGCAACUCCUUACUGUUGAUGACAUUUCUCUGAAACUGCUGCACUGACAACACCUUGCUGGUGUCCUAGGUUGCAAGGCAGGGUGUAUUCUAUUUGCUAUCUGUUGGAGGUGUGGCAGUUAUCUUCUGUUAAUUGGGCAGUUUUCUUUAUCUCUUCCACAAACCAAUCCUCCCCCAACAGGGAGACAUCUGCUGAUAAUGGGCUAUUGAAUGUCACUGCAUGACUGACAAAAGUCACAGCAUCCCAUUGUGAGAUGCUCUGCCCAGAGGCAGGAGCCAAGCAUUCCUAACUGGAUAUAAUCUUGAAUUUCUUGAAUACCAACAUGUCUUUUUUCUGCGCUGGAUUUCCCAGAGGAACAGCUGCCUCUUCCAUUUCCUUUUCAUAGGAAGACUACACCCUUUUCUACAGGAUCACUACUCCAACAGAACCACACCUGAUGCUCCAGGAGGACUGCUGCCAUAAUUCCCAAUUGGACUGCUGUCUAACAGG